RNAcentral lists this non-coding RNA (93 nucleotides) under Ditylum brightwellii. The record is from RNAcentral. Lineage: Eukaryota; Bacillariophyta; Thalassiosirophyceae; Lithodesmiales; Lithodesmiaceae.
UAUUUAUUUUUCUUAUCCUCUCGUUGUCCGGAUGUUUUUCUUCCCAAACGAAAACGAGGAGGAGGGGAGGAAAUGGCGGAAAUAAAAUAUAAA